UCAGUGGUUCUGGGUCUUGGCUGCACUUUCUAAUUACCCAGGAGCCGUUUGAAUGUACCCUGCCUGGAGCCCACGCCCAGAAGUUCUGAUUUAAUUGGUCUGGGGUGGGGCCUGGACUUGGGUGUUUUUUAAAAAACUCUCCAGAUAGAUCCAACGUGCGGCGCAAGUCAAAGACUCCAGCUCUAACCUGAAAAGUUGUUUUGUUCCCACAAACAUUUCCUGAGCGUUUACAAGGUACCGAAUUGUGUGUGGCUGGUGGGAGAGGAGGGCGGCGGAGGAACACAUGGAAAACCAGGUGAGGGCCCGGCCACCCAAGUUCCUGAUGGCCUCGAACGGAGGAGCAGAACACAACAGGAUUCCGCCACCACGAGUGAAGCGAGCAUUGGGGCUGGAAAUGUGGGUGCUCUGGAAGGAAAGGUGAAGGAGCCAUUGGUUCUGAGGCUUACAUCGGAAGCUGGGGUCACGAAGCAGAGCAGCCUCCAGGACGGUGAUGAGUCAUGGCAGCGGCAGCGCCUGCCUCCCCCUUCUGUGGGCUUCCACCAGCACCCGGGGUCGGCUGUCAGCCGUGUCAGUGUGCGCUCUGACAUCUGGGACUAGCAGCGGACCAGCCCGCUCUUGGCAUGAUCUGCACAUUUCUGUCGGCUUAGCUUUGAGCCUGACGGCCGGCCCUCCCGGAGAUUUUAGCUGCUUGUAAGAAUUUCCUUUGCUGCUUAAAUCAGAAAUCUACUUACAUCAGGGAAAUGCAAAUUCAAACCUCAAUGAGAUAGAUACCCUUUCAUGUCCCCGAGAUGAGGAGAAACAGAUAUCCCUCCCCUGCUGGAGUGGGUAUAAAUUGGGAUGGAUACCUUGGAGGACAAUUUGUUAAUGUCUAAAGAAUUGGAAUGCAGGUACCUUAUGACCCGGAAAUUCCACUUCUAGUCCUGUUCUCUAAACCACAGCUCGCGGAGACAACUGCAAGACUCUUCCUUAGGGCACUAUUUAUAACACCAACCCCGCGCCCCCCCCAAACAACCUACUUUGAGGUCAGUGUGGAAUGAAUAAUAAAUUGCAGUAUAUUCAUACAAUGUAUCAACUAGAACAGCACAUACCAAGAUGGAUAGAUCUUGAAAGCGUCACUUUGGGUGAAAAGGACAGGACGUUGCAGAAGGAUAUGCAUAGUGUACGACUGAUAUGCAUUUGAAGACAUAACACGCAAACACAGAAGAGGAGGGGUAAAACACAGAUAAGGUGGUGGCCAUACCCAUGUUAAUAUCCUGGUUGUCAUGUGACAUUGUAGCUUUGCAUCCCUAGGGGCAACUGGGCAAAGAGUAUCAUUUCACAGAAUUGCACAAUCUACAGCGAAAUCAAUAAAACUUCAUUAAAAGAUACCAAACAAUGUAUAUAUAACUUACAGACACAUGGUGGCUUCUUCUGAGGGGAGGAGAGAAAACGGGAUUUACGAAAGACAGAACGGAGGCUUCAAAUCUUUCUUUUUUCUUAGAAAGAUCUUGAGGCAAAUAUGGCAAAAUGUUAACAUUUAAAAAAUCUGGAUGUAGGUGAAUGAGUGUUUGUAUACCUUUCUUUGCAUUAAAAAAUGGCCGAAAGGUUCAAUGAGAUACUGUUCAUCAAUUAUUUAAGGCAGCGCCUGGCUCAUGGCAGGUGCGCAGUGCAUCUCAGAGUGCUCGAUAAUCCCCGAUCCUAUUAGCCAGGAGGGUAAGGGCUGCUGGUGUUUGGCAUAGCUCCAGAGAAGUGUAUUUUUCUUCAACUCAUCCCCCAAUUUUCCCCCUCUGCUGAGGGAUAUAUCAUCACAAACUCUACUUUCCAAUUCUCAUCACUCAUCUUCAUGAAGGACCACAGUGAAGGCAUUACUCUCGAGGUCCCAACACGAUGGAGCGGAGGGGAGGGGAGCACAGUCUGAGGCCAAGCUGCCGGCUGGAUGGGGCUGGAUGCCUCCGCCGUACACGGGGACACCAGCAGCCCUGCCUCAUAGGGUCAUCCUGAGGACCAAGCGAGCUAAAAUGUGUGGCAUCUCAGAACACAGCCUGACAGCGGGGGUUCUGGUUCCCGCAGGGCACAGCUGGGACCAAGGCGGAAACGCUCCCCACCCUGUGGACCCCGUGAUCUUGUCUGAAAGUCAGCAUUUCUGACCCACGUUACAGCUGAGGAAACAGACUCAGAGAACUUGCCCACUUAUGGCACUUGUCCCGGGGCCCAGGGAGGUCAACAAGGACUGUCAGAUCCCUCCCCCGGCCCUGCGUUUGAAGAAGGUCAACAUCUGAGGAGAGAGAGUCAAGCUGGUGGUUGGCUGAAGGCAGAAGGGGGGCUUGGCGGAGUGAGAUGGGGGAAGUUUGGAGGAUCUGGGCCACAUUUGAUCCUCUGGGUCCAUCUUUCCCUCUUCCCUCCCCUCCCAGCUCUGCGAGCUUAGGGACAGCCCCGUUCAGAUAAAACAUCCUGGAGAAAUGUCUGAGAAACUCAUCGGAGAGAAAAUUCCUUCUCAGGCUUCCCACUAUGUUAGGAAUUUCAGAAGGAAGAUGAGUAAAAAAGCAACCCCAGUUCAUUACUGAAAUGGGUGGGCCGAGAUCGCCAUCUGCAGGCGGCAAGUUUCUUCUGCCGACUUGAAUUCUUUCCAUGAUCCCAAAACCCAAAGGGCACCCCCAGAAAUCACCUCCUCCAGCCUCCACGCUUCACCCGAGGGAAGAUCAAGUCCCCGUCAACUCAGCAUCCCACUCAAGAGCACCCCGCCGGCUGGCAGGAGAAUACUUCCAAAAAAGAUGACUUUCAGUAAUUUUUUUUCUUUUUAAUUCAUUUUAUUGUGGUAAAGUACACACAAGAAAAAACUUACCAUCUUAACCAUUUUUUUAAAGAUUUUAUUUUUCCUUUUUCUCCCCAAAGCCCCCCAGUACAUAGUUGUGUAUUUUUAGUUGUGGGUCCUUCUAGUUGUGGCAUGUGGGACACCCCCUCAGCAUGGCUUGAGGAGCGGUGCCACAUCCACACCCAGAAUUCGAACUGGCGAAAUUCGAACUGGGCCUCCGAAGCAGAGUGCGCUAACUUAACCACUUGGUCACAGGCCGGCCCCUUAACCAUGUUCAAGUGUUCAGUUCUGCGGCAUUGAGCACAUUCACGUUGUUGUGCAGCCAUCCCCAGCGUCCAUCUCCAGGACUUUUUCAUCUUCCCAAACUGAAACUCGGUCCCUUUUAAAUUAACUCCUCAGACCCCCAUCCCCAGCCGCCAGCACCCACCCUUCUACUUUCUGUGUCUGUGAAUUUGACUGCUCCAGGUCCCUCACAUAGUAGAAUCAUAUAACGUUUGUCCCUCUGUGACUGGCUUAUUUCACUUAGCACAGUGUCCUCAAGGUUCAUGGACGCUGUAGCAGGUGUCAGAAUCUCUUUCCUCUUUAAGGCUGAACCAUAUUCCGUGGUAUGGACACACUACAUUUUAUUUACCCAUUCGUCUGUCAACAAACACCUGGGUUACUUCCACUUUUUGGAUAUUGUGAAUAAUGCUGCUAUGAACAUUGGUGUGAAAAUAUCUAAGUCUCUAUAAUUUUUAAUGAACUUUUUUUUUUGGAAUUACUUCAGAUUUACAAAAGAGUUGCAAAGAUAAUUCAGAGAGUUCUCGUAAACCCUAAGGUUCACAUCUUACAUGACCAUGUCACGUUUGCCACAACCAAGAAAUUAACAUUAGUACAUUACUAGUCACGAAAUUCCAGACACUAUUUUAAUUUCACCUGCUUUUCCACUAAUGUCUCAUUUCUGUUCCAGGAUGCAACCCAGACUGCUACAUUGUACCCAGUCAAUGAUUUUUUUAAACUGAUAAUUAUGAACACUACACAGCAAUGUGGAAAAAGAACAUUGGUGAUACAGUGUUAAGAGGGGGGCGGGGGGGGGGAAGUAAAUUAGAAGAUUGUAUCUGUGCGAAGCCAGAUAUUGAAUGCAAAUAUUGAAACUAUUUGUGUAGAGCGUGUCACAGUGAUCUGGUGAGGCAGGCAGCACCACUACCUGCCUUUACAGAUGGAGAAGGCGAAGCUGAGGUCACCCCACCCAGGCCACGGGUCCCUGGUGCCCCCCCCGCUGCUGCGGCUGCUGGUGGCUCUCAGCUGCACCUUGCUCUGGCAGAUUGUUCCCAGUCCACACCCUCAGCCCACAGCUGACCCGUACAGGGUACAGUCGGGUCCCUUGUCUCCAGGUUCCAGGCAUCCUCCAGCGCUCCGAGGACCAGGUGAGGCUAGACCUCAGCCCGACUCCUUCCCCACCCUCCUCUGCCCCCUCACUCCCUGCUCUUUCCCCCCAAGGACACUCUCAGCAAGGAUCCCGGGCCCAGGCUCUGCUUCUUGGCGAGUUGGCCUAAGACAUUGACGGAGGUGGCGAAGCAACUGGCUCCCCGGAGGCCCAGCUGGUGGGUGGGAGCCUCGCCGUCUUCAAUGUCUGACUCGAAAUCUACACGCAGACGCCCUCGGUUCCUGCUUCUCACGGGCAAAGCUUAUUCCAAGGGUCAGGGACACGAAUCCGACAACCGACCCUACGCCGAGGCUCCCUAAUGCUGUGCAAUCACCCGGAUGCCGCCAGCACGGCCGAGCGUCACGGGAGCCUGGACUCCGAGGUGGCCACCAGACGAUUCUAAAUUACACACGUGGCUCACAUUCCACUUUUAUUGGAUGGUGCUGAUCUACUCCGUCCUGGGAGUGAGCUAGGCUAUCACUGGAGAGCAAACUUCAUAAAAAGGUCAAUGUUGACACAAGGAGUUCUCAACAACCGUAGUCCAGCCAAGAUAGCACAUCUUUGAUUUACUAACUUGUUCUUUCAUUGUUUAUUCAAUCAUUCAUUCAAUCAACAAACAUCUUCAAACACCUGCUACCUACUGGGCACUGUCUCAAGCUCUGGAGCUCCUGGUGAAACAAAUCACAGUCCUUGCUCUCAGUCUUCCCCGAGCUCAGGAGGUCCGCCCAUCUCUUUUGUUCACUGGCAUUAACAUUUUAGCCUAUAUGCUUCGUCUCCUGCAAUCCUUAUUUACACUUCUGAGAGUAAGUUGCACGCACCCUGGCCUUUUGCCCUGAAAUGCUUCAGGGGUGUAUUUCCUUAGAACAGGGACGUUCUCUUACCUUAGUUCGGUUACUGACUUAGGUAAAUUUAGCCUUGACAGUAUUAUUUGAUCUAAUCUCCGGUUCGUAUUCCAAUUCUGGCAGUUUCAGCAAUUGACUCAAUAACACGCUUCAAAGCGGUUUUCCCUCCAGGACAGGAUCCAGCCACGGCCAGGCGGUGGAAUUAUUCUCCUGUCUCCCCAAGGUCCCGAGUCCCUCUGAAGCAGAGUUGUCUCUCCCAUCAUACAGCCACGGUGGAAGCUUUCCUUCGAGGUCUCCGCAGAGAUAAGCUGACCCAGCUCCACAACCAACUUUGGAGAAAAUCCGACCUCAUCUUGUAAAGCUGAAGAUGCCCAACCCCGGAGCCAUCCGUGCCAGUCCCAGGUUCACGUCCCUCAGAUGCGCCCCUGCACACGCAGGACAGCAUCCCUCACGGCAUUGUCUGCAAUGCCCCAAACCCGAAACAACCAAAUUCCCAGCAACCGGGUAACGGAUGCAGAAGCUCGGCUGCAGUGCCCCGCGGAAAGCUCUUCAGCAGCGAAACGAAGGGCUGCCGCUCUGCCUGCGAAAGUGAAUUAACCUCAGAAAGACAACAGAAAAAAGGGCAAAGUCCAGAGUAAUACAGACAAAUAAGGUUCACAAACGUGCAUUAUGUAGUUUGGUGACAUAGAUGUUAUUAUAUAUAUAAAAAAUAUACAUUAGGGGCUGGUCCCGUGGCCGAGUGGUUAGGUUCUCGUGCUCUGCUGGGGCGGCCCAGGGUUCGGAUCCCGGGCGUGGACAUGGCACUGCUCGUCAGGCCACGUUGAGGCGGCGUCCCACAUGCCACAACUAGAAGGACCCACAACUAGAAUAUACAACUAUGUACGGGGGAGUUUGGGGAAAUAAAGCAGAAAAAAUAUUAUAUAUACACUUUAAAUAUAUAUUGUACGUAUACUAAAUAUAUAGAGUUUAUCAUGCCCUUGUUAUCUUUAUAGAUUUAUAAUUUUAUUAUAUAUGUAUAGUAUUUUUACUGUAUAGAGUAUAAAUAUAACUUUUUCUUUUUGAGGAAGACUGGCCCUGAGCUCACAUCCAUGCCCAUCCUCCUCUACUUUAUAUGUGGGACACCUACCACAGCAUGGCUUGACAAGUGGUGCCAGGUCCACACCCAGGAUCCGAACCGAUGAACCCCGGGCCACCGAAGCGGAACGUGUGCACUGAACCGCUGCACGACCAGGCUGGCCCCUAUAAUUUAUAUUAUAUAUAAACUUAUAUAUUAUAAUAUCUAAAUAUAUGUUUACUAUAUAUAGUAUUUUAUCUCUAUAUGUUUACUCUAUAUUUAUCUAUAUAUAUUUAUUAUACAUAGUAUUUUAUCUAUACAUAGUAUUUCAUCUCUAUAUAUUUUAUAAAAAUACUUUAAAUACUAUAAAUACUAUAAUAUAUAAAAUUAUUUAUAUAAUAAUUUUCGUAUUUAUAUAAUAAAUACUAUAUGAAUAUAGAUAAAAUCCUACAUGUAAAGUACUAUAUAUAUAGUAAAAUUAUAAAUCUAUAAAGAAAGAUAGGAGCAUGAUAAACAUAAAAUGUAUUGCCAUUUCUAGACAGUUCAAAACGUUUUAAAACUCAGAGUCGCUGGUGUGUGGACCCCCAGGCGGGCGGCUGUGGAACACCAGCACCCUGAGGACCACAGUCUGAGAACCGCCAGGCUGGCAGCUGUCUAGGUUCUGCCCCCUGGGGUUCUGUUCCUUCCAACUUGAUGGAAAAACCGCAAAAAAAAUGCAAAUCUGUUCUAACAACCUAGCCUCUCUUCAAAGUAUAUACACACAGCAAUUCUGCAAAUACAAACUUGGAU
This 6881-nucleotide long non-coding RNA is filed under the name Equus asinus (donkey). Its description in RNAcentral is "lncRNA (ENSEASG00005032007.1)". Lineage: Eukaryota; Metazoa; Chordata; Mammalia; Perissodactyla; Equidae. The record is from RNAcentral.